ACGAUCAUACCAGCACUAAUGCACCGGAUCCCAUCAGAACUCCGAAGUUAAGCAUGCUUGGGCGAGAGUAGUACUAGGAUGGGCGACCCCUAGGAAGUCCUCGUGUUGCACCCC
This 114-nucleotide ribosomal RNA is filed under the name Salvia splendens (bonfire salvia). Lineage: Eukaryota; Viridiplantae; Streptophyta; Magnoliopsida; Lamiales; Lamiaceae. The record is from RNAcentral.